This 448-nucleotide ribosomal RNA is filed under the name Bacteroidetes bacterium QH_7_62_13. RNAcentral's name for it is "bacterial SSU rRNA". It matches the Rfam family "Bacterial small subunit ribosomal RNA", at positions 1 to 441 of the family's 1533-position model. The record is from RNAcentral. Lineage: Bacteria; Pseudomonadati; Bacteroidota.
ACUACGGAGAGUUUGAUCCUAGCUCAGGACGAACGCUGGCGGCAGGCUUAACACAUGCAAGUCGCACGAGAACGUUCUGGCUUUGCCAGAACAAGUACAGUGGCGGACGGGUGCGUAACGCGUAGAUAACCUGCCUUCAGGCGCGGGGCAACCACGGGAAACCGUGGCUAAUACCGCACGACGUCUAAGUCCCGCAUGGGAGUUAGAUGAAAGCCUUCGGGUGCCUGAAGAUGGGUCUGCGUCGGAUUAGCUCGUUGGUGGGGUAACGGCUCACCAAGGUAACGAUCCGUAGCUGGUCUGAGAGGAUGAUCAGCCACACUGGGACUGAGACACGGCCCAGACUCCUACGGGAGGCAGCAGUGGGGAAUCUUGCACAAUGGGGUAACCCCUGAUGCAGCCAUGCCGCGUGGAGGAAGACACCCCUAUGGGGCGUAAACUCCUUUUCUGC